UCGCUAGUAAUCGCGAAUCAGAAUGUCGCGGUGAAUACGUUCCCGGGUCUUGUACACACCGCCCGUCACACCAUGGGAGUUGGUAACACCCGAAGUCUGUAGCCUGACGCAAGAGGGCGCAGCCGAAGGUGGGAUUGAUGACUGGGGUGAAGUCGUAACAAGGUACC
This 167-nucleotide ribosomal RNA is filed under the name uncultured bacterium. RNAcentral describes it as "partial 16S ribosomal RNA". It matches the Rfam family "Bacterial small subunit ribosomal RNA", at positions 1332 to 1500 of the family's 1533-position model. The record is from RNAcentral.